AGUAUAUACUUAAAUGUACGGUGCUGCAUUCCAAGCAUACGUUUUCCUUAACUAAAAAGGAGAGGUUGAGUUUACCAUAUAAGGAAUCUCCAUUAGAGUGGGAUCAAGACGUGAGGUCAUGUCACUCAGGACCUUGAACUAAAAUAUGUCCUCAUGACAGACUGACGUGUGUAAAAUUAGCUGACAGGUCAGUCCAAGUGUCAGCCUACUUUCGGUUUGAGGGAAGCUUCAUAAUGCAAUGUUCAGAAUACUGAAGAAUAUCAGAUAUUGUGGAGGAUUUGGAGGAUAUUACACGUCAUUAAUCAAUUUUGAAUGAACAAAAACACUUGGAAAUGGUUGCGGGAGCCUGAAGUCUAACCCAGGGGACUUGGGACACCUGGGGGGGGACACCCCGGACAGCGUACCAACUGAUCGCAGGGCACAAUCAUACACACACUCAUACACUACGGACAAUUUAAAAAUGCCAAUCAGCCUACAAUGCGUGUAUUUGGACUUGGGGAGGAAACCGCCAAAGCAUGGGGAGAACAUGCAAACUCCAUGCACAUAGGAGGCAAGACUCAAAUCCCCAUCCAUGGAGGUUCACGGGGAACCUGGAGCCUAUCCCAGGAAGCAUCGGGUACAAGGUGGGGUACACCCUGGACAGGAUGCCAGUCCAUUGCAGGGCACACUCACACACACAUUCAUACACUACGGACACUUUAGACACGCCAAUCAGCCUACCAUGCAUGUCUUUGGACUGGGGGAGGAAACCGG
Ictalurus punctatus (channel catfish) is the source of this 753-nucleotide long non-coding RNA. Lineage: Eukaryota; Metazoa; Chordata; Actinopteri; Siluriformes; Ictaluridae. The record is from Ensembl.